Long non-coding RNA from Rhineura floridana, 475 nucleotides. RefSeq lists it as uncharacterized. Lineage: Eukaryota; Metazoa; Chordata; Lepidosauria; Squamata; Rhineuridae. The record is from RefSeq and is a predicted model, not a curated record. The transcript has 3 exons.
AUGGAGCUCCACCCUCACCAAUCAAAUGCAAGCAUUUGCAAUCUGGGCCUGUUGCUCUUCUCCCAGGUUGUGCUGAUUCUUCCCUCCUGUUUUAUGUUUUGUUCUGAUUUUGGGCGGGAGACCAACUGAAGCGCCCGGAAGCAUGGCCCUUUCUUCAGGCAGCCAGCAGCAUCUACCACUCGAGUUCUGAUGCACUGGAGACAGGGGCACUUAAAAGAAUGGAGCACCCAGUUAUCAAGGAGAGAACUUUAGUGCCAGGAAAGGAUGGAUAAAAAGGUGAGAAGAUGCAAGCUUCAUCUAACCCCCCUGCCCACAGCUUGCGAGCUUCCAAGACGGCUCUCGCUUGGUCAGAGCACUGCGGAGAUGUCAGGGUGGCUGAAAUGGAUGGACAAUCAGGUGAUCUAAAGAAUGGUUAAAAAAAGUGUGCUUGAAACUUUAAAUACCUUCUUAAAUAUUAAAAUUGUAGCUUUUUCAA